CCUUAGCGGUAACAGGCCCUUCGGGGUGCUGACGAGCGGCGGACGGGUGAGUAACGCAUAGGAAUCUGCCCGGUAGUGGGGGAUAACCUGGGGAAACCCAGGCUAAUACCGCAUACGUCCUACGGGAGAAAGCGGGGUUUCGGCCUCGCGCUAUCGGAUGAGCCUAUGCCGGAUUAGCUGGUUGGUGAGGUAAUGGCUCACCAAGGCGACGAUCCGUAGCUGGUCUGAGAGGAUGAUCAGCCACAUCGGGACUGAGACACGGCCCGAACUCCUACGGGAGGCAGCAGUGGGGAAUAUUGGACAAUGGGGGCAACCCUGAUCCAGCCAUGCCGCGUGUGUGAAGAAGGCCCUCGGGUUGUAAAGCACUUUCAGCGAGGAAGAACGCCUAAUGGUUAAUACCCGUUAGGAAAGACAUCACUCGCAGAAGAAGCACCGGCUAACUCCGUGCCAGCAGCCGCGGUAAUACGGAGGGUGCAAGCGUUAAUCGGAAUUACUGGGCGUAAAGCGCGCGUAGGCGGCUUAAUAAGCCGGUUGUGAAAGCCCCGGGCUCAACCUGGGAACGGCAUCCGGAACUGUUAAGCUAGAGUGCAGGAGAGGAAGGUAGAAUUCCCGGUGUAGCGGUGAAAUGCGUAAAGAUCGGGAGGAAUACCAGUGGCGAAGGCGGCCUUCUGGACUGACACUGAC
Molecule: ribosomal RNA, 684 nt
Filed under: uncultured bacterium
Lineage: Bacteria
Description: bacterial SSU rRNA
Rfam family: Bacterial small subunit ribosomal RNA
Source: RNAcentral